RNAcentral lists this ribosomal RNA (421 nucleotides) under uncultured bacterium. Its description in RNAcentral is "bacterial SSU rRNA". It matches the Rfam family "Bacterial small subunit ribosomal RNA", at positions 359 to 777 of the family's 1533-position model. The record is from RNAcentral.
GAAUAUUGGACAAUGGAGGCAACUCUGAUCCAGCCAUGCCGCGUGCAGGAAGACGGCCCUAUGGGUUGUAAACUGCUUUUAUACGGGAAGAACCACAUCUACGUGUAGAUGCUUGACGGUACCGUAUGAAUAAGGACCGGCUAACUCCGUGCCAGCAGCCGCGGUAAUACGGAGGGUCCAAGCGUUAUCCGGAAUCAUUGGGUUUAAAGGGUCCGUAGGCGGAAUAAUAAGUCAGUGGUGAAAGUCUGCAGCUCAACUGUAGAAUUGCCAUUGAUUCUGUUGUUCUUGAAUUAGUAUGAAGUGGUUGGAAUGAGUAGUGUAGCGGUGAAAUGCAUAGAUAUUACUCAGAACACCUAUUGCGAAGGCAGAUCACUAAUACUAUAUUGACGCUGAGGGACGAAAGCGUAGGUAGCGAACAGGA